This 492-nucleotide ribosomal RNA is filed under the name uncultured bacterium. RNAcentral describes it as "partial 16S ribosomal RNA". It matches the Rfam family "Bacterial small subunit ribosomal RNA", at positions 29 to 507 of the family's 1533-position model. The record is from RNAcentral.
AGUGAACGCUGGCGGUAGGCCUAACACAUGCAAGUCGAACGGCAGCACAGUAAGAGCUUGCUCUUACGGGUGGCGAGUGGCGGACGGGUGAGGAAUACAUCGGAAUCUACUUUUUCGUGGGGGAUAACGUAGGGAAACUUACGCUAAUACCGCAUACGACCUACGGGUGAAAGCAGGGGAUCUUCGGACCUUGCGCGAUUGAAUGAGUCGAUGUCGGAUUAGCUAGUUGGUGGGGUAAAGGCCCAACAAGGCGACGAACCGUAGCUGGUCUGAGAUGAUGAUCAGCCACACUGGAACUGAGACACGGUCCAGACUCCUACGGGAGGCAGCAGUGUGGAAUAUUGGACAAUUGGCGCAAGCCUGAUCCAGCCAUGCCGCGUGGGUGAAGAAGGCCUUCGGGUUGUAAAGCCCUUUUGUUGGGAAAGAAAAGCAGCAGGUUAAUACCCCGCUGUUCUGACGGUACCCAAAGAAUAAGCACCGGCUAACUUCGUG